AGCACCAAAACAAUCCAAGAGUAGUAGUACUACAACCAGCCUCACUACGUGAGCAUCUUCACAAUGAGUGUGUGCGUGCUUCACUUGUGUCCUGAUAGCUUCAGUUAGCUGCAAUAUAGAUCCUCUUUGCCUCUGAUCCUCGGCGGUUCUGCCAGUAGAUUGUUUGGGCUAACAGAGCAGAGGAGGAAGAAGAGGUUGCCGGGCUCGCUGCGGUGGCUCCAGGCUUGCGCCGGUCGAAGCUUAAGAUAUAGUCUACAACAGCGGUUCGAUCCGACACGGCUGGGAGUCCUCGCGGUGGCGGUGGCCAUGGGAUCGACGGAGGACGGCCACGAGGGCACUUGGGCCGCGG
Molecule: ribosomal RNA, 349 nt
Filed under: Triticum aestivum (bread wheat)
Lineage: Eukaryota; Viridiplantae; Streptophyta; Magnoliopsida; Poales; Poaceae
Description: partial small subunit ribosomal RNA
Source: RNAcentral